CCAUUUGCAGUUUUAGUGAGAGAACAACUUGGAUGGCUGUUCUCUGUUGGGAAUCUUUGCAUGGUUGGCUACAUGCAGCGGUGCAGGCUCUUCCAGUCGAGUAUCUAAAGCAAGGGGAAGCCGAAACUCUUGUGCCAAUUUGGUUGGAUGCUCUUGUUGGUGCUGCCUCAGACUAUCUCGAGAGUAAGAGUUGCAAUGGAGUAAAAAACAAUUAUGGGCAUAUGCAAGGGAAAGGUGGAAGGGUUUGGAAGCGAUUAGUUCGAGAAUUUGCUGAUAGUCACCGUAAUGUCCCAUCCCAAAUUUAACAUAACUCGCAUCAAACAUAAGCUAAUCCAGUCCACAGCUUCAAGAGCUGCUGAGCCUGUUGCUGCUGGUACUAUCUCAGUUGUAAUUUGUUGGCUUGCUUUCAAGCUUGGAAAAUCCCGGGGUCUAUCUUUUGAGCAAAAGUCCCCACAUUGUAAUUACUCCCGUUGCCAUAUUUUUGUUUUCUGUACAGUUUUCUCCCAAC
This 508-nucleotide unclassified non-coding RNA is filed under the name Hevea brasiliensis (rubber tree). The record is from RNAcentral. Lineage: Eukaryota; Viridiplantae; Streptophyta; Magnoliopsida; Malpighiales; Euphorbiaceae.